GAGUUUGAUCCUGGCUCAGGAUGAACGCUAGCUACAGGCUUAACACAUGCAAGUCGAGGGGCAGCAUGGUCUUAGCUUGCUAAGGCUGAUGGCGACCGGCGCACGGGUGAGUAACACGUAUCCAACCUGCCGUCUACUCUUGGCCAGCCUUCUGAAAGGAAGAUUAAUCCAGGAUGGGAUCAUGAGUUCACAUGUCCGCAUGAUUAAAGGUAUUUUCCGGUAGACGAUGGGGAUGCGUUCCAUUAGAUAGUAGGCGGGGUAACGGCCCACCUAGUCAACGAUGGAUAGGGGUUCUGAGAGGAAGGUCCCCCACAUUGGAACUGAGACACGGUCCAAACUCCUACGGGAGGCAGCAGUGAGGAAUAUUGGUCAAUGGGCGAUGGCCUGAACCAGCCAAGUAGCGUGAAGGAUGACUGCCCUAUGGGUUGUAAACUUCUUUUAUAAAGGAAUAAAGUCGGGUAUGCAUACCCGUUUGCAUGUACUUUAUGAAUAAGGAUCGGCUAACUCCGUGCCAGCCGCCGCGGUAAUUC
Molecule: ribosomal RNA, 530 nt
Filed under: uncultured bacterium
Lineage: Bacteria
Description: bacterial SSU rRNA
Rfam family: Bacterial small subunit ribosomal RNA
Source: RNAcentral